GACGAACGCUGGCGGCGUGCUUAACACAUGCAAGUCGAACGGAAAGGCCCUGCUCUUGUGGGGUGCUCGAGUGGCGAACGGGUGAGUAACACGUGAGUAACCUGCCCUUGACUUUGGGAUAACUUCAGGAAACUGGGGCUAAUACCGGAUAGGAUCUCCUGCUGCAUGGUGGGGGUUGGAAAGUUUCGGCGGUUGGGGAUGGACUCGCGGCUUAUCAGCUUGUUGGUGAGGUAGUGGCUUACCAAGGCUUUGACGGGUAGCCGGCCUGAGAGGGUGACCGGCCACAUUGGGACUAAGAUACGGCCCAGACUCCAACGGGAGGCAACAGUGGGGAAUAUUGCAGAAUGGGGGGAAGCGUGAUGCGGCAACGCCGCGUGCGGGAUGACGGCCUUCGGGUUGUGAACCGCUGUCGCCUGAGACGAAGCGUGAGUGACGGUAAUGGGUAAAGAAGCACCGGCUAACUACGUG
This 468-nucleotide ribosomal RNA is filed under the name uncultured bacterium. RNAcentral describes it as "partial 16S ribosomal RNA". It matches the Rfam family "Bacterial small subunit ribosomal RNA", at positions 28 to 507 of the family's 1533-position model. The record is from RNAcentral.